This 282-nucleotide unclassified non-coding RNA is filed under the name Hygrocybe sp. RNAcentral's name for it is "partial contains 5.8S ribosomal RNA, internal transcribed spacer 2, and large subunit ribosomal RNA". The stretch from base 1 to 52 matches the Rfam family "5.8S ribosomal RNA", at positions 103 to 154 of the family's 154-position model. RNAcentral also lists the same sequence under 2 other names. Lineage: Eukaryota; Fungi; Basidiomycota; Agaricomycetes; Agaricales; Hygrophoraceae. The record is from RNAcentral.
AACGCACAUUGCGCCUCUUGGUAUUCCGAGGGGCAUGUCUGUUUGAGCGUCAGUACACACCUCCUCUCGUGACUUUGCAGUCGCGACCGGGUCUUGGGACGGGAGGGGUCGCCCCUCGCGGGCAUCGGCCCCCUCCUUCCCUAAUGUGGCACGCUUGCGGGCCCACGGCCAGAUGUCAACGUAGUAAAUCUUUCCUCGUGGACAGCUGACGAUGGGCCUCGCCUGAACCGAACUAUUCUAUGGUUUGACCUCAGAUCAGAUAAGGAUACCCGCUGAACUUAA